UCUUUUCUUCUUCGUGUGUUUCUCAUGGGGCAAGCAUAAUCAUUGAUAUGAAUAGUCAUGAAAAUAUCAUAUCACUACAACCAACAAUCUAUCAUCUGCUCCAAAAUUGACACCUAUGCUUAUUAUACAUACCAAAAAAACAACUACAAUGUUGCAGUCAAGACAAAAUUUUGAAAGAGUAUUAAUGGACCAGGCAUUGACAAAAUGAUUCUGUUAGUGUAACGCAGACCAAAUGACAUGGCACACACACCAAUCUAUUCAGCAGUAUUACAUUAAUCAGACAAUUUGUUCAGCACAUGGUAGCUAUAUAAAUAGUCCAAAUAUCGUUCAUGUUGACAGAAAUCCUAUAUACAUAAGAAGUUGAUCCCCACUACCCAAUUUGACAUGCAAGCCAUCCACAUCACCCACAUGUACAUGCAGCCACGUCACCUCUCCCAGAUGUGUGAACCGACCCAUCCAUCUCUCUGACUGUUAAAAAAAGACCCAUCUUUACCAAAUCCCCACGCCGGUGGUCAAAGCAGUUGGUGGUGGACUAUCAAUGACAGGUCUUCCCUCCGGCCUUUCCCCUUCCUCGUCUUUUCCAAUCCCCACUCAAUAUCAUCUAGGCUCCUCCGUUUUCUAUUUUUCCCGUUACCAAUCGCCGCUUCAUAUCUCGCGUCAUCCGGCUCCUCCGUUUCCCAUCUCAACCAUGGUUGGCUUGCUUCCAUAGUCCAAAAUACAUGGCAUCACAUCCAAGGCCUCUCAGAUCCAGCCCAUAUGGAGAUGAUGAUUUAAUUGGUGCCAUGGAGCCACGGGUGGGAGUUGCUAAGGCUGGUCACAAUAAGCAAGAACAUAAGCUAGUAACUUCACACUUCCCUAGACUAUGUUACUACCACCAUAGUGGGUAGGAACAUCUAUGUAAUGUCAUGCAACGAUGUAUUUAUUAGGUUAUAGACUCAUUGUUUCUUGGAGUGUGUGAUGUUCCGGUAACUUAGCUAGUUACCACAAACACCUCUCUCUUCACUAAAUACGUGCCACAUAAGCAAACUUGUAUUGGAGUGUGUGAUGUUACUCCUAAGUUCCUCCUCACUGUGACCAGCCUAAGGUACACUUAGCUGCUGACGUUAACUGCUUGGAUUGACCGCAUCAUGUUCAUCGUCGACGCCGCCGACCAAUCGGCAACCAUGACGGCGCCACUGCAGCACAAGUAGUGUGCAAGCACCGACGCAGACCAAUGGGCGACUUCCACCGGUCCGGCCGUAACACGCAUCGUCCGCGGCUGGAUAGUUAUUACGCAAAUUUUUAGGUGGAUAACUAAUUUCAGUUCUUGAUGUUGCAGAGUACUAUUACUGAAAACUCUAUCUUUUGUCCUUGAAGAUUUUUUGGCGUAUUUUGGGAUCACGACAGCCUCUGGUCGUUCACGCCUUUCCCUUGCCUUUCAGAUUUUUUGUUGGCUAAUUUUAAACGAGGCUCAUGGAGCCAACUUUUGUUAAACCUUCCCUGUAAUCUUUGUUGGAACAUAUAGUCUAUUUGUUACUAAUGCAUGCACAACUAAGCCCUCUACAGAGAUCCCGCGCAAGUCUCGCCACUUUCAGCCUCUCUGGUGAGUAACACUUUCUCCUCUUCCACGUCAGAUCAAUUUUUUUUCUACGCAUUUGCAGCUGCUUUGAAAAUGUGGAGAUAGUGGGAAGUAGGAAGCAUAUGGCAACUGACGAUUCAUGACAUUUAUAGUUCAGCUGCUCUGUAUAUGAAUUCUCACGAGUUGAUUUUACCUCGUCAUUGGCAUCUAAAUUACCACUUCAAAAACUCUCUUAAUGUUAUUGUUUGUGUUGUGUACUGCAUCUAAAUUUUCACUACAACAGUAAAAUGUUACUACAAUUAUUUGAUUGUUUGCAUAUGUAGUUUUUGUUACCUUUUCUUUCAGUUUCAUCAUGCUGUUACAAGUAUAUGAUAUAUAUUCUUGUGACAUUUGUUGUUCUAUGUAGAUUUCAUUAUGUCAUGUACAAUUUGUAUCGACGGUUCAAGAAAGAAAUCAAUCAUAGUUUGUAUUGUUUACAGAGCCACAUUUCAUUCUAUGUGUAUAGUAUGCCCCUUUAUCGACACCAUAUUUUUUCUGGAAAAUUAAUGCUUAAUUUAUUUAUUGACACCAUAGAUUGUGAUAUCUAUGGUUGUUUCCUUUUUAUAUUGUCACGUGAUACCAUUGUUUUACUACUAACCAUGAUCUGAAGGCGUAUAAAUAUUUGUGCUUCAUGAUUUUCCCAAACAUAAUCCUCAAGAAAGUUUUGGUGUCUAAACACCUAUUUAAAGAAAGUUUUGUGCUUCAUGGUCUGAAGGAGUAUUUAAUUAUUUUAUUUUUAGCAGUAUUCCCGCAGCAACGCGCGGGGUGUCAUCUAGUUAGCAAUGCUCACGGCUACAUACGAAAUUGGCCAGAGUCAAUUUUCUAGCAUCUUCUAUUUUUACACAGCGUCACAUGCCAAGUUUCCAAAGAUUGAACUUAAUAAAGACAUGCGUUCACGUCCAUACAGGAGCUUUAGUGUCGAUCUGCCCAAUAAAUUGCUCCGAUGCUGGCGAUGAAUCUUUCGUUCAAGCUUCUAUAGCCCCUCCGCCGCAUAGAUCUGGCCGUCUCCACUCACUCGCCUCAUAGGCAGCAGCUGCUCCACAUGUUGAUCCACUCAUUUCUGUCUCCACUCACUCCCCUCAUAGGAAUACUGAAUCAUAAAAAUAUUUUCAGAGUAUUAGGAUUGUAUCAUGAAUUAUGUUCACUUCUAUCAACACCUCACAAAGCUUUUGUGUUUGGUAAGAAAAUUCAGCAUAUAUGAAGGUAAAAUGAAAUCAUCAAUAUAAUUCCCACCUAUACUACUGCAUGGAACAGACAUGAAAUGUCAUGGAAACUGUCGAAACUUACUUCUCUAGAAAUACAGAGCGUUCAAUACUGACUUGCACAUAAUUCGCAAUUAGCACCCAGGUUUCAUCCAAUAUGUAGAUGCGGCGAACAGGAGCACAUACUUGGACAGAGCAUACCGCAUGGGGGCGAGGCUCCAGUCCAACACUUCCCCAGCCCUCCGAUUUUAUUGCAGUACUUUGUAUGUCAUAGGUGCCCUUUAUUCACACGUGUAGUACUAUUUUUCAUUGACACGGAAACUUCCUAGACUAUUACCUCAAAUACAAGCUCCUUUCGUAGAUAUUUGUGGAGCACUUCUAAAAAAACCAAAAUCUGAAAGUAACUAAAUCACUGUAUUUAACCAAUUUUAUCUUCUUGGCAAAUGAAAGUAUAGCUAGCUAUAGCUUUGUAUCAAAAGUGACAGAAGAAUUCAACAGCAGUACAUUAACGGAGACCUCAGGUAUGGAAGUGUUUUUGUCGCACGCACACAUAUGUGUUUGUAUUGUGUGUGUNNNNNNNNNNNNNNNNNNNNNNNNNNNNNNNNNNNNNNNNNNNNNNNNNNNNNNNNNNNNNNNNNNNNNNNNNNNNNNNNNNNNNNNNNNNNNNNNNNNNNNNNNNNNNNNNNNNNNNNNNNNNNNNNNNNNNNNNNNNNNNNNNNNNNNNNNNNNNNNNNNNNNNNNNNNNNNNNNNNNNNNNNNNNNNNNNNNNNNNNNNNNNNNNNNNNNNNNNNNNNNNNNNNNNNNNNNNNNNNNNNNNNNNNNNNNNNNNNNNNNNNNNNNNNNNNNNNNNNNNNNNNNNNNNNNNNNNNNNNNNNNNNNNNNNNNNNNNNNNNNNNNNNNNNNNNNNNNNNNNNNNNNNNNNNNNNNNNNNNNNNNNNNNNNNNNNNNNNNNNNNNNNNNNNNNNNNNNNNNNNNNNNNNNNNNNNNNNNNNNNNNNNNNNNNNNNNNNNNNNNNNNNNNNNNNNNNNCCUUGAGGCAAGCAAAUAACAAAUUAUAAAUUUGACAAGCAUGUUGGUUGAUAUUUAAACAGGAUAAUAAAUAAACCAAGAUGUGAGACUAUUCUAUGGUGUACCUAAUCAAAAAAAAAUCCUUUGUGUUUCAGUUGUAUAUAUGUAACUGUAGAAAAAUAUUGACAUCCGCAAGAGAUUAAAAAAAGCACCAUGUCAUACCUACACGUAUUUGAUUUCUUCCCAUAUUCUAUCCACAUUCCCAUUCUCCACAAAUUCCUCCUUCAAGUCUCCAUCUUCUGACUAAAUUCAAUCAGAUCUGAAGCUCAUGCAUCCUCCUUUUUGUAUUGGUCUUCGUAUGGUCUUCCUACAUUUUGUAUUGCCUGCAUUUAUAGCACAGAUCUAAUUUUUGCAACCAAGAUUUGAGUUCCCAAUUAAUAUGAUGUGUUAAAAAUUUUGUAGAGUACUAAUAAUUUCUAACGACCCUUGUUGGCUUUGCUUUCUUCUACUCGGAAAUACCAGAGCAUCUUACGAAAAUGAAGCUUUCCAAUACGAGCUUAAUUCAAGAAAAUGUACUGCUCUUUACAAGUUUAAUUCAAGAAGCUCCACGACCAUUGUAACCUACAAAAACGAGGAAACAUAUAUCAGAUUCAGUGACGUUGUAGUUGUGUUCUCUCCCAGAAUAAGCUAGUCAGAUGCAUCUUUCCAAUACUACUCUUUAGUAGUUUCGCUCCCUAAUGGUAAAGUAUAUAGAUGCAAAAGGAUUUUGCAUACUACUAAAAUGCAUAGCCAUUCCAAUACACUGAUCCAACAAGCACAUUAUCGUUGUCGGUUAGUGGUUGCCGGUUGUCUAUGCUGGUUCUCUCCCUUAUCACUUAAGGGGCUUUGGCGAGACCAAGUUCUAAUCUCUGCAAUUUUACUUCACUCCUCUGCAUUAGUGUCAUUAAUUCAGUGGCGCCAUCCGAGCUAGCGGCACUAUCCAAUCCAAUUUCCUAUAAAUCAUGAUUAACAACUCUCUUCUCUUUUUACAUGUUUUAAAAAUCUGCAUAUUUUCUUGGAAUAAUUUCAAUAACAUAAUUGAAUGGCUCAGUAUAUGCUCACAUAUCCCCGCUCUUACAAGCUACCAUAAAGCUUGUAUCAGACUGGUAGUGUAUACUAUAUUGCUAACUCUGAGAUUGGAUUUUGUGUUAAUUAUAGACAACAACAACAAAGCCUUCAGUCCCAAACAAGUUUGUGUUAACUAUAGAAUCUUGAAAAAAGAAAUAGUGGGCUGAUUAGAUAUAAUAAGAUUUAAAAUAGAAAAUAAAUGAUGAAUAGCAAAUGACCAUUUUAAUCAAGCGCUAGAAGUCGCUGCACACUUAAAAAAGAAGCUAAUUGCACAUCAGCUCCGUCUUGAUUCGGUGCCACUUUAGAAUUAGAGGAAAUUUAGGGAGGCAGAUCACAUUCUUUGUUUGUCUAAUGCCAACUUUAAUCAUACACUAUGAAUCUACAAAGUUGACUUGACCUACAAAUUUCUGAAUUUAAUUAGUGUGACUACUUGUUGGAAAGAAUCAUCAUCACAUGACAAAACAAAUACCCAAAAUAUGUUCCCAUCACAUGACACAACCAAGAUGUGCAGGCAAGCAUGAGGUUGCAAUGAAAUGUAAGAACAAAGAAUUAUAGUCGGUUGGGUGGGUUGUGGUCACGUGUGAUGAGGACAGUGAGCCCGGCAGCGUAAAUGCCGUCAGUUAUCUGCUCCUCCAUGGACGCUGACCGAAACACACUGGAGCCCGACUUGCUGGAGAUGAGCGACAAGAUACCCAUCUGGUCAUUAGUGGACUCCCUAACAGAAGGGAGCCCAUAAAUAGGAGGUAAAAAAAGAAACAAAACAGAGUGCGAGUCCCCAAGAACCACAUAACGACCAGUUCAAAAAAGAGAAAGAGCCACGAAUCGAUUCUCACCUGAUAGGUUGUCCUUAGUGUAUAGCACCUGUAAGUACUGUCGGGAGAUAGAAAAGGAGUAAGGGCACAACAGAAUACAAUAUCAUGUCAUGAUGAGUAAAAGGUGUAUGUUUGAACAUACCAUCCUAUGGCUUUGUUUGGCAAAUAUCUUGGCAUUCCCUGAAGAAAAGGUUGGCCUGUAGCACAAGUUUAGGUCCUAGUUUUCAGUACAAUCAGUUCGGUUCGAUAAUCUCAUUUGCCGCCAUAGUGUUUUGUUCUCUAGUUACACACCCACCCUGAAAUACACCAAAUAACUUGAUUUGAGAUAUGAUCGACAGUAUUUUUCUCAUUGUUCAGUACCAUGCACAUAUCCUUUUCUUAAAUGCAUAAACAUGAUUCUUUUAAUUACAAAGGCCAAUAACCAAAUAACAUGCACGCUUUUUAAUUCAUUGUUGGAUUGGAUGCAAAUGUAGCAACAACCUUUUCUAUUAUGAACAAAAGUGUAACACCAGCAUGGUUGUCAGAAAUUAACUAUAGUUAAAACCACUAAAUAUGGUUGGAUAUAAAUUAGAAAAGGAAACUUGUUUGUUUAAGAAAUUAAAGCAUGAUUAAGAAGUCCCCUUAUCUCUAAUCGAUGUGAUCUCUACCACAGCAAGGCUUCUAUGUCUGAAUAGUGAAUGUACAGUGUUUUACAGAGAGUUUAUAUCAGAAACUGGUUCCCUAAUUUUCUGAUACUCCACCCACGAAAAUCUCGAGACUUGUAGCAAAGAUAUAUAUAUGUAGCACAACAAAUAGCUCUCAAACUUGAUAGAUGCUUACCAUGGGACAAAUGGGCAAUGUAUUCACUUCUCUUGGCAGCAUGAACAUUCUUCGUAUACAAUAUGUCUGUUUUGGAUGCUUGCAUCGUGGCUCCACCAAUGGACACCCUACGGUUUACACCACCCAUCGAGUGUCUAGGCGCCUUCUUUAUACUUUGAGGCUUGGAUGGACUUGGUUUUGAACCGUAGAGAAUUGAACACCGACCGUCCUUCUGCCCACGCCUCUGCCUUGAGGUGGAUGCUGACUGCCCUCCAUCCCUGGCCGACGAGAGAGAGUGGAGAUGAGGAGAAGCUAAGAUGGGGCGAAGACGGUGGUGGAUAGUAUGUAAACAAACAUUGCAAGUAAUAGUAUGAGAACCAAUUGUAAAGAAAAAGGACAACCAAAAAUCAAUUUACCCGCACUUUACCAAAUCUGGCAAAAUACUCUUUGAAGUCCUCCCUUAAGGUUCUCUUUAUGAAGCUUGUAUGAAGCAGAAUCUACAUGAUUAUAUUCUGCAAGAGACACCACUCUUAAGAGAAAUAAAAUAAAAUAGGAAGUUAAGAGGUCAUCAGGCAAGACAUAAGAAAAUAAUGACUACCAUGCAGCAAAAAUAGCAUCAAGACCAGGUGCGAGUUCACACACCCUUAUGAUGAUCCGGUAUAGUUCCUAGGGCUGAAAAUCAGGGAGGAAACUGCAGUAACAUUAAACCUGAGCGUGCUUACCAAUGAGGCGUUGAUACAAACUGGAUUCUGUUCUGGGCGUCUCACUCUUCCAAUAAGAAGCGUAAAACCAACCUAGAAUAGCAUAUCCGCAUAGUCAAGGUAAGGAUCAGCACAUAACUUUAUGCCCAAAAACAAACAUGUCAUCAUUCUGUUGUUAGUAUCAACUAUGUACAGAUUAUCAUACAAGAUUUCCAUUACCCUGAACAUUAGUACACGAGACGAAAAGGAAACCUAUAAACUAAGAUUUCCAAAAUAAACAGAAGAAGCUACUACUGUGCAUCAUAUCCCACAAUUAAUUCAUGAUGCUAGCGAAGCUGUACAAGAGCCCAAAAGGAAACCUAUAGUAUUAAGUGCAGACUUCAUCUGAAUAGCCUUGCUUGUUCAGUGUUCCUAGUUAUUGUGAGGACUUUAAUCCUAAUUUAAGCGACCUCAUCCGGGUCUCAAAUCAAAUGUACCACAGCUCAAAGAGCCGCAAAUCUGGAGAUAUACUAAAGAGCCACAGCUUUCUUUGCUUCAGCCUUCCGCCCUAAAAUAUAAAGCGGCCAUUCAACCUGCAGGUUGCAGUUUCAAGUAAUCACAAGGCAAAACAAGCACAAGAAAGUAGCCUGAACCCUACAAGCCAAUUGUUUCCCUCACUUCUGAACCCACACUAUGUUGGAAAAUGUUCUGCAUCACAAGUGCAGACAUAUCAAACGGACCAGUCCAAACUCUAAGCAUCAACAAAUUCAGUUUUGAACAACAAAACUCAAACGAAACAAAGCCACGAGAAACCCAACGGUGCAUCCAGGAGCAAAUCAAGAAUCCCUAGAGUGGUCGUUUUGAACACAUACACACAAAUAGUAAUGGCAGAUUGAUGAUAAGCUACAAGCACCACUACAAUUUGUACGCACUGCUUGGGUAUCUUGCAAAUAAAAUAGAGGUAAUAAAUUCCUUAUAUCUAAUCACGUGAAUAUAGAAAACUGAUUACCUGUGGUUUGAUUCCAUGUGCUCUAUCCAAAAUAGAUCAAAUCUGCAGGACAUCCUAGGCUAUGAGUGGUCAGCUGUAGAUGCUGUUGCUUGUGCUUUUGCACCAAAGGGGCCUGAAGAGCCCCAUCUCCCUUCAACAACCUUUGAAUAGUAAAGAACAUCAUAUAACAAGUAACUAGAAAAAAGAUAGUCUAAUCGAAAUCAACUCGUUUGAAUAACCAUAUGUGCAUAGUGACAAAAGUAUGUUUCACAGGGGGAUUGCAAAGUAUGUUGCAGCCUAAGAAGCAAGCUUCAUGCGUUGUCGAUGCUCGAAGUUGAUGUAUAUAUGUUAACCCCACCGUCCCAAUAAGGUGAAUAAAUCUGCGAAAGAAAUAAACUUGGCUUAGACCCAAAAGUAAGCUAGCUUAAAAGAAAUCCUUACUGAUGGCGCCAGUCAUAUAGGAUUGCCCAUAGCUUUUGCACUUUCUCUCUGCAAUCAAAAUCAAUCACCAUGACAUAAAUCAACAAUAUAUACACUCCAUUGCGAACAUACAGAAUGGGGAGAACCAAAACACCUUGAUGUAUUCAUAUCAUCCAUAAGUUGUAAGGAUGGAGCUCCAAAUGCAAUAGCAAACAUGAAUCGUAUUUCUUAACUGUGGUAAGACAAAAAAAAUUAGGAUGAUUAAAACGAAUUAGGAGGAUGAACCUGGUGGGGGAGGUGUCGUCCAGAGCGGUGCAGAGUGGUCACUGGAGGUCAGCCUCACUCCUCAGCUUCUUGGCGGACGAGGGCGGCUAUGGAUGGUGAUGCAUAUGGUGAGCAGCCUCUGGCCUCCCCUGCUCCCCCAUGGUCCUGCUCGACGCCCGUGCUGCCCAUUCACCGCCGACAUCACUUGCCAAGUUGAGAUUGAGUGAGAGAGAGAAAGAGAGAGAGAGAGGAAAAAAAUAGUGGAGGGAAAGCUCAGAAACUGCUGCUCACACAAAGAAAAACAAUCAGAUUAUAGGAUACAUGUGGUUUUAGAAAAAGCAAAAAUGUAAUACAUACAACAUCCACUAAAAACUGUAACAAAGUUUGCUGGAUUGAUGCCAAACCUACUGUGAACUUCACACUAGGCACAACAAUAUCCCCUCUAUUUUUUCAGUUCAAAGCAAGACAAAAUGAAUUGUAAGAUGGAAACCUACUGGAACUCGUUUUCUGAUGGCUAGCAGCAACAUAAAACAACAACCACUUCUAUAAACUGAACCAAAAAAGAAAAUGAUCCAGAACUGAACCAAAACGUCAUGUUUCCGAUUUCUGAUAUUUUUCCUCCAAUCUCCUGCAGACAGGAGAGCAGUAUUGCACUAAAAAUAAAUAAACAAACUUGAGAAUCUGAAUACUACUGUAAGGCAUAAGAUGUCCUUGGCAUAAUUAUAAUAAAGAAGGGAAAAACUGAACCAAAAUGUGGUGUGCACCUCACGUCCUCAAUGGAUGCAUGCACAAGAUGCUGCUGCAGGUGAUAUAUAUUGUGAGCCACCUGGGGGUGGGGUUAGAUAAGAUUGGAUGGGGGAAGCUCACCUCACGUCCAGGCGAUGGCUGCUCCACCUCCUCUCCUCUCCUCUCCUCUGGCCGCUGUGCCACCUAUAGACAAGUGAAGAGAGAGACACGCAGGGGUCAGAGGAAGAAGAAGCCGCCUGCACAUCACUCACUCACUCACGCAUCACAGGAACAAGGAAGAAAACCAGAGGAAGAAGAAGAAGGAAGGAGAUCUGACCUAGGGCGCCAUGGGUGGGGCUCGAUUGCUAGGGUUUUGGGCGGUGGCUACGGGGUGGAAGGAGGUUGCUUCGUGGUGGAGGAGCCGAGCCGGCGGCGGUCCUCUGCUGGUCGACGCAGCCAAAUCCAUGAGAUCCAAAUCCUUCGCUUUCGCUCGACGCGCUAGGGGCGGCUACGUUGGCCUCCCCACCUUGAGAUCCAAAUCCAUCCCGUCACCCGUAUUCCUCCCUCAUCUGGCCAUGGAGAUCAGCUCAUCCUCUCCCGAGAGUGAGGCGCCUUUGAUGUGAGACGAGUGCGACGGCGAAGGGAUGAAGGGCGGCGGAGGCGAAGGGAUGAAGGCGGCGACGAACGAGGGCAGGGAGUCUAGCGUGCGAGCCGUUCUCGCUCGAGGGCAUGCGAUGUCGCUCGUACACGCAGGUUUUUUUUCGCUGGUUAUUUUUCGUAGGUUUUUUUAUCGCUGGUUAAUCAUCGUAGAUUUCUUCUUCGUCCUGAAGAGCGCGGGGGCUGGUGGAGGAUUUGGUACGUGGUUUUUUUCGGCUAGUGGUGGGUCAGCAUGAGGUGCGAGCAAGUACCAAAGAAGUACCAAAAAAGACCGGGUGAGGUGGGACGAAAAUAAAAUCCGGAACGCGACCUACCAACUAAGACAUUAGGAGUAGAGAUAGCGGGGCGCAAGCCUAUUUCGGUAAUCAUGUCUAGGCUGUACGGGCCCAUUCGUAGGCACCAAACAAAUAUGUCAGGAAAAUAAAGGCAAGGGGUUCAUAGGCGAACUCCCGACCUCAAGCUCGGCAGCAGUGUUAGUAACCACUCGAGAUAACAAUCGUUUGUAGCUAUGUUGCAGCGCCGUUUUAAAGUGCUAAGUAUAGCGGCAAAUACAUCUUUUCCCCAAAUUUGUUGAAAAAAUGUGAACAAGUUUCUUUAAAAAUGCGAAUAAGUCUCAAAAUCGUGAACAAAUUUUGAAAUUCAAAAAAAAAAAUAAAGUGGGAAAUUUUUUCAAAAAGUUUACAAAAAACUGAAAAACAUGUUUUUUAAAUCUGACCAGUUAUUGAUUUUUUUUAUAUACGAUGAAAAACACUUAAGUAUACAUUGGACACCUUUGUAAUAUAUGUUGAACAAUAUUUAAAUACACAUUGAAUAAUUUUGUGAUAUACGUUGUAACUAUAGUUAAAUACAGAUGAAACAUUUUCCUGAUAUACGUUAAACAAUAUUUAAACACUCAUUGAAGACUUUCGUGAUAUACACUACGCUGAAUAAUUUUUUAAUACACAUGAAUUUUUUAAAAAUAUAUUGAACAUUUUCUGAAUACACGGUCAACAUUUUUUAGAUGUAUGAUGACCAUUCUAUUAAUACAUAGCUGAACUCUUUGUAUAAAUACUCAAAAGGAGAAGAAAAAGAAAAAGAAAAAGAAAAUAAACGCAGAUCCUGGUGUCGUGGCGGUGCAGAUCUCCAACGGCGCGGCUGUGCACGUCCGCUGCGGCGUGGUGGUGCAAGUCUAUGGUGCGCGGCGGUGCCGCGAUUGGCAUUCGGCAGAGUGGCUUGGCGGGUGGGCGAGUGGUGGGCCAGAGAGAGAGAAAAAGAGGAUGUGUGGGUAUGAAUGCCAGGUGGGCCGAGAACACGUGCAACGGGCAGAGGCGGACAAAAAGGACACAACAAACGUCUGCUUUGUGUCCACUUCAGACCCAAAUCAGUCUUAAAUUUGGGCACGAAAUGGAUCCCGCGGAUACAAAGCGGACGCAUUUUGGGUAUGCUUCGGCACAUUGGGCCAUCAUUUUUGUCCGGGGCGACCAAACGGACGUGGGCGGGCGAAAUGGAUCGUUCGGUUGGAGUUGCUCUUAUAUAUGCUAUUGUUUCUCUUAUUUCUCGUGACAAGUUGCAUUCUUGUUUUUGUGAGUAGUACCAUGGUACAUCACUAAAUCUUGGU
Molecule: long non-coding RNA, 11855 nt
Filed under: Triticum aestivum (bread wheat)
Lineage: Eukaryota; Viridiplantae; Streptophyta; Magnoliopsida; Poales; Poaceae
Description: long non-coding RNA (TAES_LNC028198)
Source: RNAcentral